Long non-coding RNA from Asparagus officinalis (garden asparagus), 186 nucleotides. RefSeq lists it as uncharacterized. NCBI's taxonomy places the organism in Eukaryota, Viridiplantae, Streptophyta, Magnoliopsida, Asparagales, Asparagaceae. The transcript has 3 exons. The record is from RefSeq and is a predicted model, not a curated record.
UUUUGGAGCUACUUCUUAUGCUCAGAUCGAGCAUAAGUAUUUGAGCAAAAACCCGGACGCUUUGACUAUGCCCCCGACUCUUCUGGCUAAAAGAGCUUAUACACCACCCCAGGGCUAUGAAAAUGUAGAGGGAAAUGACAAAAAGGUGGAGAAAAUUAAUGAAUUGAACGCGGCGCUGGAAGCUUC